CCUACGGGAGGCAGCAGUGAGGAAUAUUGGUCAAUGGCCGCAGGGCUGAACCAGCCAAGUCGCGUGAGGGAUGACGGUCCUAUGGAUUGUAAACCUCUUUUGUCAGGGAGCAAAGGGCGCCACGUGUGGCGCUUUGCGAGUACCUGAAGAAAAAGCAUCGGCUAACUCCGUGCCAGCAGCCGCGGUAAUACGGAGGAUGCGAGCGUUAUCCGGAUUUAUUGGGUUUAAAGGGUGCGCAGGCGGAAUGUCAAGUCAGCGGUAAAAUUUCGGGGCUCAACCCCGUCGUGCCGUUGAAACUGGGGUUCUUGAGUGAGCGAGAAGUAUGCGGAAUGCGUGGUGUAGCGGUGAAAUGCAUAGAUAUCACGCAGAACUCCGAUUGCGAAGGCAGCAUACCGGCGCCCAACUGACGCUGAAGCACGAAAGCGUGGGUAUCGAACAGGAUUAGAUACCCUGGUAGUC
Molecule: ribosomal RNA, 459 nt
Filed under: uncultured bacterium
Lineage: Bacteria
Description: partial 16S ribosomal RNA
Rfam family: Bacterial small subunit ribosomal RNA
Source: RNAcentral